CCCUUAGAGUUUGAUCAUGGCUCAGAAUGAACGUUGUCGGCGUGGAUUAGGCAUGCAAGUCGAGCGAGAAUCUACUGAUUGAAGCUUCGGCUGAUUGAUGUAGAGGACAGCGGCAAACGGGGUAGUUAGGCGCAGGUUACGUACCCUCUGGUCGGGGAUAGCCACGGGAAACUGUGGGUAAUACCCAAUGAUCCGGUAACGGCAAAGGUGAGAUUCCGCCGGAGGAGCGGUCUGCGUGGUAUUAGCUUGUUGGUGAGGUAAUGGCUCACCAAGGCGAAGAUGCCUAGGGGGUGUGAGAGCAUGGCCCCCACCACUGGGACUGAGACACUGCCCAGACACCUACGGGUGGCUGCAGUCGAGAAUCUUUGGCAAUGCACGCAAGUGUGACCAAGCGACGCCGAGUGCUGGAUGAAGGCCUUCGGGUCGUAAACAGCUGUCAGAGGGGAUGAAAUUGUUGGGGGCUAUCCCUCUUCAUUGACAAAGCCUCAGAGGAAGCGCGGGCUAAGUUCGUGCCAGCAGCCGCGGUAAUACGAACUGCGCGAACGUUAUUCGGAAUCACUGGGCUUAAAGGGUGCGUAGGCGGCCUGUUAGGUAGGGUGUGAAAUUUGUCGGCUCAACCGGCAAACUGCAUUCUAAACUGGCAGGCUUGAGUGAGUCAGGGGUGUGCGGAACUUCCGGUGGAGCGGUGAAAUGCGUUGAUAUCGGAAGGAACGCCGGUGGCGAAAGCGGCACACUGGGGCUUUUCUGACGCUGAGGCACGAAAGCUAGGGGGAGCGAACA
This 780-nucleotide ribosomal RNA is filed under the name uncultured bacterium. RNAcentral describes it as "bacterial SSU rRNA". It matches the Rfam family "Bacterial small subunit ribosomal RNA", at positions 1 to 774 of the family's 1533-position model. The record is from RNAcentral.